RNAcentral lists this unclassified non-coding RNA (1968 nucleotides) under Limulus polyphemus (Atlantic horseshoe crab). Its description in RNAcentral is "peptide deformylase, mitochondrial-like, transcript variant X3". The record is from RNAcentral. Lineage: Eukaryota; Metazoa; Arthropoda; Merostomata; Xiphosura; Limulidae.
AAGGCUUGUGAGAAAAGGAAGUACAAAGUUGGUCGUAUAUUGGAAACACAGAAGACCGUCCCUUUUAAUGACAAACGAGAUACUGAAGAUUGAAGAAGCUAUAAUCUACAAGUAAUUGUUGUAUGAUUUUCGCGCAAAGCUACUCGAGGGCUGUCUGCGUUAACCAUCCCUAAGUUAGCAGUAAUAAAGUAAAGGAAAAGCAGCUAAUCAACACACCCACCGCCAACUCUUGAGCUACUCUUUUACCAACGUAUAGUGGGAUUGAUCGUAACAUUAAAACGUCUCCAUGACCGACAGAGCGACCAUGUUCGGUGACAGGGAUUUGAAACCGCAGAUUGUGAGUCGAACGCCAUAAGGUCCAUUAGGCUACAAGUAAAACUGCAAGAAAUGCGGUCUUUUGUGACCUAUUAGAUAGUAAAGAAGCAGUUAGAAAUACUGCACUAUCUUUGUGUUACAGUGCAGCAUACUUUUAUAAUUUUGGAGACAGUUUAUGGGAAGAGCGGCAUUUUUACAUUAAUAGUAAGAAGUACAAAACGUAUAAUUACCUUAUACAUUAUUACUAGUAUUAGUGGAUGAAAAUUUACAAAAGUAUUCUAUAUUAUAACACAGAAAGACAGCAAUGCUUCCAACUGCAUCUUUAUUACCUCACAGGUUACACAAAUAGACUGCAAUAUUUUUCUUUUUAUUUGUAGAAUAGCUUCUUCAAAUUCGUCUAUCUUGUCUGUCAUAAAACAGAAUGGUAUUCUUAUUUUCCAUUUUACGACCAACUUAGUACUUCAUUCUGUCAAAUAAUUUUGUCUAGAUUUUUGUCACGUUUUUUGCACAUGUUCGUUAGUGCAGUACUACAUGUAUUAAGGUUGUCUUGAGAUGUUUCAAGAUGUCUGUUAGUGUUUUGUGAGAAUCGUGUGUGAGGUCGCGAAAUAUUUAUCAGAGACUUAAGUAUUUCAGAGUUCUUGUCGUGAAAGCAGAGUCAACUCAGACAUAUAUAUACAGUUCGGAGCAAUGGCUAUGAAAUUACCAUCCACUGUUCUGACAAAGUUGGUUUCAUCAUAUAAUCAUUUAUGGAAACCCCCUCCAAAAAAACCUCCAUACAAUCAUAUUUGUAGAAUAGGAGAUCCGGUGUUAAGAUAUGAAGCCAAAGCUAUUGAUGUGGAAAAGAUAAAAUCAGAAGAAAUUCAGAAGGUAAUAAGCAAAAUGAAGAAAGUAAUGAGAAAUCACAAGGCAGUUGGCCUAGCUGCACCACAGAUUGGAUGUUCUCUUAGAGUCAUCACAAUGGAAUUUAGUCCUGAAAGCUUAGAGAUGUUUCCUCCUAGUAUUGUUCUUAGUAGAGAAUAUCAAGCUUUUCCUCUACAGGCUACAGGAGGGGGUACUCAUCUUUGGACUUAUCGGCUAUCAUCUUCCGUGAGAUUGUUCAUUAUAGGAGUCAACCUGUUUCACCUGAUCUUGCCCCUAUUCCUCCUGAACAUGCCAAACUUGCUCGGGUCUACAAGAAUUUUGACAGCCUUUUUCCUCCACCUGAUUUUGCCAUAUUUUUCUAUGCCCCUACUGCAGAAUCAGCUAGGCCUAAUACGGCUUUUAGAUAUAAUUUCUCAGGUCUUUGUCAAUCCAGUGAUGAGGGUUGUGGAAAAACACAAAGUUACAUUUCCAGAAGCUUGUGAGUGUAUUAAAGGUUAUAGUGCAUUGGUACCAAGAUAUUACGAAGUUAAAAUAACAGGUUUCCAAAAGAUCCAGUAUGUAGAGUUAAAUGAACUACAGCAGUAAAACAUGGAGACCCGAAAAACAUUGACAAGGCUUGGAAAUCAUCAUCAUACCAUAGACUAUGCAGUUCCCAUUUUAUAUCUGGAUACAAUGAAAAAGCUGAAGAAGUGGAAUGGCAAGUAAAGGGUUGGCCAGCACGUAUAAUCCAACAUGAACUGGACCAUAUAAAUGGUAAAUUAUACACUGAUAUUAUGGUGUCACAGAGUUUUC